UACAGAGGGUGCAAGCGUUGUUCGGAAUUAUUGGGCGUAAAGGGAGUGUAGGCGGCUCGGUAAGUCCGCUCUGAGAGUCCAGGGCUCAACCCUGGGAUGCGGGUGGAUACUGCCGGGCUCGAGUCCGGAAGAGGCGAGUGGAAUUCCCGGUGUAGCGGUGAAAUGCGCAGAUAUCGGGAGGAACACCAAUGGCGAAGGCAGCUCGCUGGGACGUGACUGACGCUGAGACGCGAAAGCGUGGGGAGCAAACAGG
This 253-nucleotide ribosomal RNA is filed under the name uncultured bacterium. Its description in RNAcentral is "partial 16S ribosomal RNA". It matches the Rfam family "Bacterial small subunit ribosomal RNA", at positions 524 to 776 of the family's 1533-position model. The record is from RNAcentral.